This 71-nucleotide transfer RNA is filed under the name Loxodonta africana (African savanna elephant). It matches the Rfam family "tRNA". Rfam says of the family: Transfer RNA (tRNA) molecules are approximately 80 nucleotides in length. Their secondary structure includes four short double-helical elements and three loops (D, anti-codon, and T loops). Further hydrogen bonds mediate the characteristic L-shaped molecular structure. tRNAs have two regions of fundamental functional importance: the anti-codon, which is responsible for specific mRNA codon recognition, and the 3' end, to which the tRNAs corresponding amino acid is attached (by aminoacyl-tRNA synthetases). tRNAs cope with the degeneracy of the genetic code in two manners: having more than one tRNA (with a specific anti-codon) for a particular amino acid; and 'wobble' base-pairing, i.e. permitting non-standard base-pairing at the 3rd anti-codon position. The record is from Rfam by way of RNAcentral. Lineage: Eukaryota; Metazoa; Chordata; Mammalia; Proboscidea; Elephantidae.
ACAAUGGUGGUUCAGUGGUAGAAUUCUCGCCUUCCAUGUGAGAGACCUAGGUUUGAUUCUUCCUCAGUGUA